This 687-nucleotide long non-coding RNA is filed under the name Cyanistes caeruleus (blue tit). RNAcentral's name for it is "lncRNA (ENSCCEG00000013675.1)". The record is from RNAcentral. Lineage: Eukaryota; Metazoa; Chordata; Aves; Passeriformes; Paridae.
GUCACCUGGAUGUUGGUAUGAAAGGUGGAAUUGCCAUGUCAGGCAGUGGGAGCAGCUCACAAUUACAGGAACUGAAGGAAGUGUCCGACUCACUGGGCCAGAAAGAAUAGUUUCCAGCCAUGUCACAGACUCCAAGUAAUUUCUUUCUAAGCUGACAGGAGAGGUUUAGCCCAGGCAGCUCCUCUUUUUCCAGAGGAGAAUGUGGAUAAUGAACCACCCAAAGAACAGGAGCCUCAGUUCCUGUUAGUCAGAGGGGGAAAACCUGGAGUGUUUCAUGGGCAAAGAGGAGCACACAAAGAACACAAAUCCCUCAUUACCAGAUACAGGGCUGGAAAUAGAAACUGCACCACAACUGAAGAUGCCCAAACUCAGCCUGAAACAGCUGCAGAACAACCCUGACCUAGUUGGGAGUGUGAGGCUCAGCAGCCAAGAGAGGUUUUAUGGCCUUGUGAGCCUCCCCCCUGCCUGUGCCCAGCCUGUGACCCACAGCACCAGCAGCAGGACGUGCUCACAGGACAGGGACAAGAGGAGCACCCCCAACCUUCACAUCUGGACCUGCACAUCUGUACAGUGAGGGCUGGAAAAGGACUCUGUGGAGGAGUGACAGGAGUGGCAGGGGACACUGAGAACAGCACAGGAAAACACACUGGAAAAAAGUAAUAAACCCAUUCCUCUCAAUGCUUAUCA